RNAcentral lists this ribosomal RNA (468 nucleotides) under uncultured bacterium. RNAcentral's name for it is "partial 16S ribosomal RNA". It matches the Rfam family "Bacterial small subunit ribosomal RNA", at positions 28 to 507 of the family's 1533-position model. The record is from RNAcentral.
GACGAACGCUGGCGGCGUGCUUAACACAUGCAAGUCGAACGGAAAGGCCCUGCUUUUGUGGGGUGCUCGAGUGGCGAACGGGUGAGUAACACGUGAGUAACCUGCCCUUGACUUUGGGAUAACUUCAGGAAACUGGGGCUAAUACCGGAUAGGAGCUCCUGCUGCAUGGUGGGGGUUGGAAAGUUUCGGCGGUUGGGGAUGGACUCGCGGCUUAUCAGCUUGUUGGUGGGGUAGUGGCUUACCAAGGCUGUGACGGGUAGCCGGCCUGAGAGGGUGACCGGCCACAGUGGGACUGAGAUGCGACCCAGACCCGAACCGGAGGCGAGAGUGGGGAAUGGUGCACAGUGGGCGGGGGGCAGAUGCGGCAACGCCGCGUGGGGGGUGAGGGGCUGCGGGUUGUGAACCGCAUUCGCCUGUGACGGGGCGUGAGUGACGGUAAUGGGUAAAGAAGCACCGGCUAACUACGUG